AUUGAACGCUGGCGGCAGGCCUAACACAUGCAAGUCGAGCGGAUGAGGGGAGCUUGCUCCUGGAUUCAGCGGCGGACGGGUGAGUAAUGCCUAGGAAUCUGCCUGGUAGUGGGGGAUAACGUCCGGAAACGGGCGCUAAUACCGCAUACGUCCUGAGGGAGAAAGUGGGGGAUCUUCGGACCUCACGCUAUCAGAUGAGCCUAGGUCGGAUUAGCUAGUUGGUGGGGUAAAGGCCUACCAAGGCGACGAUCCGUAACUGGUCUGAGAGGAUGAUCAGUCACACUGGAACUGAGACACGGUCCAGACUCCUACGGGAGGCAGCAGUGGGGAAUAUUGGACAAUGGGCGAAAGCCUGAUCCAGCCAUGCCGCGUGUGUGAAGAAGGUCUUCGGAUUGUAAAGCACUUUAAGUUGGGAGGAAGGGCAGUAAGUUAAGACCUUGCUGUUUUGACGUUACCAACAGAAUAAGCACCGGCUAACUUCGU
Molecule: ribosomal RNA, 483 nt
Filed under: uncultured bacterium
Lineage: Bacteria
Description: partial 16S ribosomal RNA
Rfam family: Bacterial small subunit ribosomal RNA
Source: RNAcentral